Molecule: non-coding RNA, 94 nt
Organism: Gloeophyllum trabeum ATCC 11539
Lineage: Eukaryota; Fungi; Basidiomycota; Agaricomycetes; Gloeophyllales; Gloeophyllaceae
Source: Rfam
GUCACUUUGCCGGAGUGGUUAACGGGAUCGCCUGCUAUUGUAGCAAAGUAGCGGUUGGGCUUUGCCCGCGUGUGUUCGAAUCGCACAGGUGACG